UGUGGGAGCGAGCUUGCUCGCGAAGGCGUCUGGUCAGUCAAAUCCAUUGUGACUGGCAUACCGCUUUCGCGAGCAAGCUCGCUCCCACA
RNAcentral lists this non-coding RNA (89 nucleotides) under Pseudomonas sp. 29. Lineage: Bacteria; Pseudomonadati; Pseudomonadota; Gammaproteobacteria; Pseudomonadales; Pseudomonadaceae. The record is from RNAcentral.